UUGACAGGCCUGGAGACUGAAGGCCUCUAUUUAUCCCCAGAAAAAGGGCAGCUACUGGCAAACUUCCCCUUACCAACAGACCUCAGUUCUCCCCUGGUGGAAAUCAGAGGAGUGAGAGAAGAGUUCAGCCUCAGUGACCCAUUUGGUGUUUGACUAAC
RNAcentral lists this small RNA (158 nucleotides) under Chelonoidis abingdonii (Abingdon island giant tortoise). RNAcentral's name for it is "TUC338 (ENSCABG00000022805.1)". The record is from RNAcentral. Lineage: Eukaryota; Metazoa; Chordata; Testudines; Testudinidae.